RNAcentral lists this ribosomal RNA (403 nucleotides) under uncultured bacterium. RNAcentral's name for it is "partial 16S ribosomal RNA". It matches the Rfam family "Bacterial small subunit ribosomal RNA", at positions 28 to 526 of the family's 1533-position model. The record is from RNAcentral.
GACGAACGCUGGCGGCGUGCCUAAUACAUGCAAGUCGAACGCAGUGGGGACGGGUGAGUAACACGUGGGUAACCUCCCAUCAGAGGGGAUAACACUUGGAAACAGGUGCUAAACCGAUACUGAUGGAUGGACCCGCGGUGCAUUAGCUAGUUGGUGAGGUAACGGCUCACCAAGGCCACGAGGCAUAGGCGACCUGAGAGGGUGAUCGGCCCAACGGGGACUGAGAGACGGCCCGGACUCCUAGGGUAGGAAGGAGUGGGGAAGCUGCGGCAAUGGACGAAAGUCUGACCGAGCAAUGCCGUGUGGUUGAAGAAGGGUUGAGGAUCUUAAAGCUCUGUUGUUAGAGAGGCGGUAGCUAACCAGAAAGCCACGGCUAACUACGUGCCAGCAGCCGCGGUAAUUC